This 253-nucleotide ribosomal RNA is filed under the name uncultured bacterium. Its description in RNAcentral is "partial 16S ribosomal RNA". It matches the Rfam family "Bacterial small subunit ribosomal RNA", at positions 524 to 776 of the family's 1533-position model. The record is from RNAcentral.
UACAGGGGGUGCAAACGUUGCUCGGAAUCACUGGGCGUAAAGGGCGUGUAGGCGGGUAGAUAAGUCGGGCGUGAAAUCCCUAGGCUCAACCUAGGAACUGCACUCGAAACUGUUUAUCUUGAGUGCCGGAGAGGAAAGCGGAAUUCCUGGUGUAGAGGUGAAAUUCGUAGAUAUCGGGAGGAACACCGGUGGCGAAGGCGGCGACCUGGGACAAUACUGACGCUGAGGUGCGAAAGCGUGGGGAGCAAACAGG